GAUGAAGAACGCAGCGAAAUGCGAUAAGUAAUGUGAAUUGCAGAAUUCCGUGAAUCAUCGAAUCUUUGAACGCACAUUGCGCCCCCUGGUAUUCCGGGGGGCAUGCCUGUCCGAGCGUCAUUGCUGCCCUCAAGCACGGCUUGUGUGUUGGGCCUCCGUCCUCCUCCCGGGGGACGGGCCCGAAAGGCAGCGGCGGCACCGCGUCCGGUCCUCGAGCGUAUGGGGCUUCGUCACCCGCUCUUGUAGGCCCGGCCGGCGCUUGCCGACACAUCAAUCUUUUUUCCAGGUUGACCUCGGAUCAGGUAGGGAUACCCGCUGAACUUAAGCAUAUCAAUAGGGAGGA
RNAcentral lists this unclassified non-coding RNA (343 nucleotides) under soil metagenome. Its description in RNAcentral is "partial contains 5.8S ribosomal RNA, internal transcribed spacer 2, and large subunit ribosomal RNA". The stretch from base 1 to 120 matches the Rfam family "5.8S ribosomal RNA", at positions 35 to 154 of the family's 154-position model. The record is from RNAcentral.